This is a non-coding RNA of Melozone crissalis (California towhee), 435 nucleotides long. NCBI's taxonomy places the organism in Eukaryota, Metazoa, Chordata, Aves, Passeriformes, Passerellidae. The record is from the annotation of a RefSeq genome assembly.
GCGGCCGUGACCCUGCUGGAGUGUGGGGGGGACCUCCAGCCCCCUGGGGGGUCCCUGACGUUGCUGUGCCGCACAUCUGGGUUUGAUUUCGGGAAUUUUGGAAUGAUCUGGAUCCGUCAGAGACCCAGGCAGACACUGGAAUACAUCGCCAGCAUCAGCAGCAGUGGUGGCGGCACCGGCUACGCGCCAUCGGUCAAGGGCCGGUUCAGGAUCUCCAGGGACAACGGGCAGAGCUCGGUGACGCUGACCAUGAACAACCUCAAGGACGAGGAUUCCGCCGUUUAUUUCUGCACAAAACGUGCCAAUAGUAGUUACGGUUCUGAGAGUGCUGCUGCUAUUGGGAGCAGCACCCCGGAGUUGCCACCAUCAUUCCUGAUCCACGCGAGCCAUUCCAAGCCCUGCAUGGGUCUCUGGUGCACCGAGAACAUGUCGUAG